GAUGAACGCUGGCGGCGUGCCUAAUACAUGCAAGUCGAGCGAACGGACGAGACGCUUGACUCUCUGAUGUUAGCGGCGGACGGGUGUGUAACAUGUGGAUAACCUACCUAUACGACUGGGAUAACUUCGGGAAACCGGAGCUAAUACCGGAUAAUAUUUUGAACCGCAUGGUUCAAAAGUGAAAGACGGUCUUGCUGUCACUUAUAGAUGGAUCCGCGCUGGAUUAGCUAGUUGGUAAGGUAACGGCUUACCAAGGCAACGAUGCAUAGCCGUCCUGAGAGGGUGAUCAGCCACACUGGAACUGAGACACGGUCCAGACUCCUACGGGAGGCAGCAGUGGGGAAUCUUCCACAAUGGGCGAAAGCCUGACGGAGCAACGCCGCGUGAGUGAUGAAGGUCUUCGGGUCGUAAAACUCUGUUAUUAGGGAAGAACAUAUGUGUAAUUAUCUGUGCGCGUCAUGACGGUACCUAAUCAGAAAGCAACGGCUAACUACGUG
RNAcentral lists this ribosomal RNA (497 nucleotides) under uncultured bacterium. RNAcentral describes it as "partial 16S ribosomal RNA". It matches the Rfam family "Bacterial small subunit ribosomal RNA", at positions 28 to 507 of the family's 1533-position model. The record is from RNAcentral.